GAUGAACGCUGGCGGCGUGCUUAACACAUGCAAGUCGAACGGAAAGGCUCCUGCUUGCCGGGGUACUCGAGUGGCGAACGGGUGAGUAACACGUGGGUGAUCUGCCCUGCACUUCGGGAUAAGCCUGGGAAACUGGGUCUAAUACCGGAUAGGACCACAUUUUGGAUGGUGUGGUGGAAAGUUUUUCGGUGUGGGAUGAGCUCGCGGCCUAUCAGCUUGUUGGUGGGGUAAUGGCCUACCAAGGCGUCGACGGGUAGCCGGCCUGAGAGGGUGUACGGCCACAUUGGGACUGAGAUACGGCCCAGACUCCUACGGGAGGCAGCAGUGGGGAAUAUUGCACAAUGGGCGCAAGCCUGAUGCAGCGACGCCGCGUGGGGGAUGACGGCCUUCGGGUUGUAAACUCCUUUCGCUAGGGACGAAGCGCGAGUGACGGUACCUGGAGAAGAAGCACCGGCUAACUACGUG
Molecule: ribosomal RNA, 465 nt
Filed under: uncultured bacterium
Lineage: Bacteria
Description: partial 16S ribosomal RNA
Rfam family: Bacterial small subunit ribosomal RNA
Source: RNAcentral